This 253-nucleotide ribosomal RNA is filed under the name uncultured bacterium. RNAcentral describes it as "partial 16S ribosomal RNA". It matches the Rfam family "Bacterial small subunit ribosomal RNA", at positions 524 to 776 of the family's 1533-position model. The record is from RNAcentral.
UACGUAGGGUGCAAGCGUUGUCCGGAAUUAUUGGGCGUAAAGAGCUCGUAGGCGGUCUGUCGCGUCUGCUGUGAAAACUCAGGGCUUAACCCUGGGCCUGCAGUGGGUACGGGCAGACUAGAGUGCGGUAGGGGAGACUGGAAUUCCUGGUGUAGCGGUGAAAUGCGCAGAUAUCAGGAGGAACACCGGUGGCGAAGGCGGGUCUCUGGGCCGUAACUGACGCUGAGGAGCGAAAGCGUGGGGAGCGAACAGG